RNAcentral lists this RNase P RNA (376 nucleotides) under Candidatus Pelagibacter sp. TMED64. RNAcentral's name for it is "RNase P RNA component class A". It matches the Rfam family "Bacterial RNase P class A". From Rfam's summary of the family: Ribonuclease P (RNase P) is a ubiquitous endoribonuclease, found in archaea, bacteria and eukarya as well as chloroplasts and mitochondria. The record is from RNAcentral. RNAcentral also lists the same sequence under 1 other name. Lineage: Bacteria; Pseudomonadati; Pseudomonadota; Alphaproteobacteria; Candidatus Pelagibacterales; Candidatus Pelagibacteraceae.
CCAGACAAUUGAUUAGUCGCUUUUGUUUAAUUUGAUUUAAACUUAAGAGGAAAGUCCGGGCUCUAUAAGAACGCGGUGCCAGAUAACAUCUGGCGAGGGUAACCUCAGGGAUAGUGCCACAGAAAAUAAACCGCCUAAUCGAGGUAAGGGUGAAAAGGUGUGGUAAGAGCACACCGGUUUUUUGGUAACAAAAAACGCAUGGAAAACCCCACCGGGAGCAAGACCAAAUAGAGAUGGCAUUGUUUUAUCUUUGAUAAAACUAAAAAUAGUUCUUGAUUAGCCAUCAGGGUUGGUUGCUAGAGUUAAAAGGUGACUUUUAAAAUAGAUAAAUGACUAAUUUAAAUGACAGAACCCGGCUUAUAGAUUGUCUGGCUAU